UACAGAGGGGGCAAGCGUUGUUCGGAAUUACUGGGCGUAAAGGGCGCGUAGGCGGCCGACUAAGUCAGACGUGAAAUCCCCAGGCUCAACCUGGGAACUGCGUCUGAUACUGGAUGGCUUGAGUUCGGGAGAGGGAAGUGGAAUUCCAGGUGUAGCGGUGAAAUGCGUAGAUAUCUGGAGGAACACCGGUGGCGAAGGCGGCUUCCUGGACCGACACUGACGCUGAGGCGCGAAAGCGUGGGGAGCAAACAGG
Molecule: ribosomal RNA, 253 nt
Filed under: uncultured bacterium
Lineage: Bacteria
Description: partial 16S ribosomal RNA
Rfam family: Bacterial small subunit ribosomal RNA
Source: RNAcentral